GAUGAACGCUAGCUACAGGCUUAACACAUGCAAGUCGAGGGGCAGCGCAGUGUAGCAAUACAUGGGCGGCGACCGGCGCACGGGUGCGUAACGCGUAUCCAACCUUCCCGUUACUCAGGGAUAGCCUUCCGAAAGGGAGAUUAAUACCUGAUGGUGUUCAAAUUCCGCAUGUUAUUUGAACUAAAGAUUUAUCGGUAACGGAUGGGGAUGCGUGACAUUAGAUAGUAGGCGGGGUAACGGCCCACCUAGUCUACGAUGUCUAGGGGUUCUGAGAGGAAGGUCCCCCACACUGGAACUGAGACACGGUCCAGACUCCUACGGGAGGCAGCAGUGAGGAAUAUUGGUCAAUGGUCGGAAGACUGAACCAGCCAAGUAGCGUGAAGGAUGAAGGUUCUAUGGAUUGUAAACUUCUUUUAUACGGGAAUAAAAACCACCUACGUGUAGGUGCUUGUAUGUACCGUAUGAAUAAGCAUCGGCUAAACUCCGUG
This 488-nucleotide ribosomal RNA is filed under the name uncultured bacterium. Its description in RNAcentral is "bacterial SSU rRNA". It matches the Rfam family "Bacterial small subunit ribosomal RNA", at positions 28 to 507 of the family's 1533-position model. The record is from RNAcentral.